GAUAUUGUUAUUUUUAAAUUCUAACUCUAAUUCACUUUCAAUCCAUAUCAGUUUCCUUAGCAAUGUCUUCUAAAAUAUUUGGGAGAGUUAGAGUGGAUCAAUAUUUUAAUUAACUUAAAUCAAACAAAAUCAAAAAUAAAUAUCUUAAUUGAAAUCUCAUAUUCAAAAACCUAAAUCUCUAAUUAUUCAUACAAGCCCCAAAUCAUAA
Molecule: long non-coding RNA, 208 nt
Filed under: Lathyrus oleraceus (garden pea)
Lineage: Eukaryota; Viridiplantae; Streptophyta; Magnoliopsida; Fabales; Fabaceae
Description: Pisum sativum (pea) long non-coding RNA (PSAT_LNC024887)
Source: RNAcentral